CCGUGGGCGACUGCGGGUCUGAAGGAAGCCGGAGGGCAAAGCGCUGGCCUGACGAACAGGAAGCGGAUACGAGGCGGCGCGCCGGGGUGAGAUGGCCAUAUUCAUCAAAGCCCGGUACUUGCACGGAACGGUGCGUCGUAGAUCCGCCAGGCAUAAGCGUGAAGGUGGGUGCG
Non-coding RNA from Reticulomyxa filosa, 173 nucleotides. Lineage: Eukaryota; Foraminifera; Reticulomyxidae. The record is from Rfam.